GACGUAGGAGGCGAGCGUUAUCCGGAUUCACUGGGCGUAAAGCGCAUGUAGGCGGCUGGACAAGUCGUGUGUUAAAGCCCCUGGCUCAACUGGGGGGAGGUCAUGCGAGACUGUACGGCUGGAGGGCAACAGAGGCACGUGGAACUCCCGGUGUAGCGGUGGAAUGCGUAGAGAUCGGGAAGAACACCAGUGGCGAAGGCGACGUGCUGGGUUGCACCUGACGCUGAGAUGCGAAAGUGUGGGGAGCAAACGGG
RNAcentral lists this ribosomal RNA (254 nucleotides) under uncultured bacterium. RNAcentral describes it as "partial 16S ribosomal RNA". It matches the Rfam family "Bacterial small subunit ribosomal RNA", at positions 524 to 776 of the family's 1533-position model. The record is from RNAcentral.